UACGUAGGGGGCGAGCGUUGUCCGAAGUUACUGGGCGUAAAGCGCGCGUAGGCGGGGGAUUAAGUGAGAGGUGAAAGGCUGGGGCUCAACCUCAUGCAGUGCCUCUCAUACUGGUCUUCUUGAGGGCGGUAGGGAGAAGUGGAAUGGCUGGUGUAGCGGUGAAAUGCGUAGAUAUCGGGAGGAACACCAGUGGCGAAGGCGGCUCUCUGGGCAGAUACUGACACUGAGACGCGAAAGCGUGGGGAGCAAACAGG
Molecule: ribosomal RNA, 254 nt
Filed under: uncultured bacterium
Lineage: Bacteria
Description: partial 16S ribosomal RNA
Rfam family: Bacterial small subunit ribosomal RNA
Source: RNAcentral